UGAGGAACAUGACCUUCGGCGGGGGAUAGCCGGCCCAACGGCCGGGUAAUACCGCGUACGACCACUCGGGGACAUCCCCAGGUGGUGAAAGCAGCAAUGCGCCGAUGGAGUGCCUCGCGGCCUAUCAGCUAGUUGGUGGGGUAACGGCUCACCAAGGCAACGACGGGUAGCUGGU
This 175-nucleotide ribosomal RNA is filed under the name uncultured bacterium. Its description in RNAcentral is "partial 16S ribosomal RNA". It matches the Rfam family "Bacterial small subunit ribosomal RNA", at positions 118 to 291 of the family's 1533-position model. The record is from RNAcentral.